AUAAAAAGCCCGUUUCCUGCCUGCAUCAACAGUUCAUCCUGCAGCCUCCUGUAGACACGACACAUUCUGAUUCUACGCGAUGUUGCGCCUUCGCCUCGUUGUCCUUCUCGCUGCCUGCGUCGUGGCAGCCAUGGCGAGCCACAAGUGCUCUCGUUACUGCCAGACUCCUGCCAAGACUCACGUGUGCUGUGAUCCCCCGCCUCCCCCCCGCUGCCCCAACCCCGCUCCCUGCUACGACUUCUUCGACGGCAACUUCCCCUACUGCUACUGACCAGUGUCCACCGGGCCAGAAAUGCUGCACAGACGGCUGUUCCCAAAGGAAAAUUUGUGUGCCCGUCUGAGUCAUGCCCCAGCAUGGCGCAUGACACGACCGACUGUUGAAGAACUGCGUGCAUGACUAUUUUUCUCUUUCUACCUUUUGCUUUUCAUUCUCUUUGUCAUUUCCUCCUGUGAUGUCACGAAGAACUAUCUUCUGUUUAACAUCUCAUCUCUGAAAUGCACAAGUGGCAUUUGAGCAAUAAACUUUG
This is a non-coding RNA of Penaeus vannamei (Pacific white shrimp), 527 nucleotides long. The record is from RefSeq and is a predicted model, not a curated record. NCBI's taxonomy places the organism in Eukaryota, Metazoa, Arthropoda, Malacostraca, Decapoda, Penaeidae.